AUUGAACGCUGGCGGCAUGCCUUACACAUGCAAGUCGAACGGCAGCACGGGUGCUUGCACCUGGUGGCGAGUGGCGAACGGGUGAGUAAUACAUCGGAACAUGUCCUGUAGUGGGGGAUAGCCCGGCGAAAGCCGGAUUAAUACCGCAUACGAUCUACGGAUGAAAGCGGGGGACCUUCGGGCCUCGCGCUAUAGGGUUGGCCGAUGGCUGAUUAGCUAGUUGGUGGGGUAAAGGCCUACCAAGGCGACGAUCCGUAGCUGGUCUGAGAGGACGACCAGCCACACUGGGACUGAGACACGGCCCAGACUCCUACGGGAGGCAGCAGUGGGGAAUUUUGGACAAUGGGCGAAAGCCUGAUCCAGCAAUGCCGCGUGUGUGAAGAAGGCCUUCGGGUUGUAAAGCACUUUUGUCCGGAAAGAAAUCCUUGGCCCUAAUACGGUCGGGUGACGACGGUACCGGAAGAAUAAGCACCGGCUAACUACGUG
Molecule: ribosomal RNA, 486 nt
Filed under: uncultured bacterium
Lineage: Bacteria
Description: partial 16S ribosomal RNA
Rfam family: Bacterial small subunit ribosomal RNA
Source: RNAcentral